Coregonus clupeaformis (lake whitefish) is the source of this 239-nucleotide long non-coding RNA. RefSeq lists it as uncharacterized. The transcript has 3 exons. The record is from RefSeq and is a predicted model, not a curated record. Lineage: Eukaryota; Metazoa; Chordata; Actinopteri; Salmoniformes; Salmonidae.
GGAACACAUCGUGAUGCAGCUGAAGUGCAAACUACAAGAAUCAAUGGAUCUCUCACUCAAGACCCCCAACAGCUCGUUCCUCCCAGAUGAUGUCACUGUGGAGUAUAACAAGAUGAAGAUGUGCUAUGAGAAACUGAUGGAUUGCAAGCCUACAUAUCGGCUCCAAUGCCCCAAGGCAGGUAUUUGGACAUGCAGUUCUACUGGACUGGUGUUUCUGAUGGAAGGGAAGGGAGAUGUGG